UACGGAGGGGGCUAGCGUUGUUCGGAAUUACUGGGCGUAAAGCGUGCGCAGGCGGUUGUGCAAGACCGAUGUGAAAUCCCCGGGCUUAACCUGGGAAUUGCAUUGGUGACUGCACGGCUAGAGUGUGUCAGAGGGGGGUAGAAUUCCACGUGUAGCAGUGAAAUGCGUAGAGAUGUGGAGGAAUACCGAUGGCGAAGGCAGCCCCCUGGGAUAACACUGACGCUCAUGCACGAAAGCGUGGGGAGCAAACAGG
Molecule: ribosomal RNA, 253 nt
Filed under: uncultured bacterium
Lineage: Bacteria
Description: partial 16S ribosomal RNA
Rfam family: Bacterial small subunit ribosomal RNA
Source: RNAcentral